Long non-coding RNA from Herpailurus yagouaroundi (jaguarundi), 370 nucleotides. RefSeq lists it as uncharacterized. The record is from RefSeq and is a predicted model, not a curated record. Lineage: Eukaryota; Metazoa; Chordata; Mammalia; Carnivora; Felidae. The transcript has 2 exons.
UGGGUAAAUUACUGGAAAACGAGUACCUGCCAUUCACCAGCAGGUAACAAGUACUAUAAGAGUGGGCAACUCUGGGCAUGUGGCAGCAGCCAGUGUGGUAAAUCACGGGGACCCAGGCAACCAGGGCAAAGCAGGCAAGAUGGCCUCAGGGAAACCCGAGAAGUGGACACAGAAGGCAGCUGUGCCCAGAAGAGGUAGCAACAGGGUUCUCUUUGGCUUUCCUGCCCACCCCCUAAAAGAGAAGUUUUGUUUGUUACCUCUUACCGACAUUUAUUUUGACAAUUUUUUUCUGAGAGACCAUCCUCAUCCUCUCCCAUGAUGUCCACGGCAGAAAAUAUCAACGCGACAAGAAUGGCAAAGCAGCAUACCA